Molecule: ribosomal RNA, 253 nt
Filed under: uncultured bacterium
Lineage: Bacteria
Description: partial 16S ribosomal RNA
Rfam family: Bacterial small subunit ribosomal RNA
Source: RNAcentral
GACGUAGGGCGCGAGCGUUGUCCGGAUUUAUUGGGCGUAAAGAGCUCGUAGGCGGCUUGUCGCGUCGGCUGUGAAAUCCCGUGGCUCAACUGCGGGUCUGCAGCCGAUACGGGCAGGCUAGAGUUCGGUAGGGGAGACUGGAAUUCCUGGUGUAGCGGUGAAAUGCGCAGAUAUCAGGAGGAACACCGAUGGCGAAGGCAGGUCUCUGGGCCGGUACUGACGCUGAGGAGCGAAAGCGUGGGGAGCGAACAGG